GCUUUGCCUUCCAUCAUGACUGUAAGUUUCCUGAGGUCUCCCCAGCAAUGCAGAGUGAGGCAGAAAAGGGGAGAAAAAGAAGAAAAAGGAGGAGAAAAGGUAAAAGAAAAGAAGAGAAUGAAUUGCAGCUGAGGAAGUGGAAGAGCGAGAAGCGCUUCCAGAUUCCAGCCCAUUGGAGCCACCAGCUAAAACCUGGGGAGUGAAUGAGCCCAGUCCCGAGUGGAGCAGAAGACCCAUCCAGUGAAGCCCGGCCUGAAUUCCUGACUAACAGGCUUAACAAGUGGACUUUUGGGUUUGCUGAAGAAGAAAAAGAAGGAGAAGGAGAGGAAGAAGAGAAGUGUAAUUAACAAGAAAAAAACUUAUUUGGGGGCUAUGAACACCUUGAAUAUUUAACAGAAUAUCAG
This is a long non-coding RNA of Piliocolobus tephrosceles (Ugandan red Colobus), 404 nucleotides long. RefSeq lists it as uncharacterized. The record is from RefSeq and is a predicted model, not a curated record. The transcript is spliced from 4 exons. Lineage: Eukaryota; Metazoa; Chordata; Mammalia; Primates; Cercopithecidae.